Heterocephalus glaber (naked mole-rat) is the source of this 927-nucleotide non-coding RNA. Lineage: Eukaryota; Metazoa; Chordata; Mammalia; Rodentia; Bathyergidae. The record is from RefSeq and is a predicted model, not a curated record.
GGUUGCGAGGCAGGCGACAGAACCACUGGGCUAAAUCCCCGGCCCUACCCAUUCAUUUUUCAUUCAGUCCCUCUCCACCCACCAAACUAUCCACCUCCACCCUGUCUAUUCACUCACCCAUUCACCUGUCAGUCUAUCCUUUAUCCAUUCUUCCUCCACCCAUCUCCUGCCCAUCUAACCAGCCAACUGGAUUUAUGGAGCGCCGAUGAUUUUCCAGGUGUGGACUACUCAGUGAGCUCACUCACCGGCCUCCUGUUAGUCAUCAUCUGGUGGAACAAAACGAUGUCCUAUAGGAACGUGGGCUCUGAGACACAUAGGCAGGACUUACGUGACUGGCUGGGAGAGGAGGGGCCAGGGGGCUUUCAAUAGGAAGCAGCCCUGGACCUGAGUGUUGAGAGGGGUAAGACUGAAGGGCUUGCUGAGUAGAGAAUCAGGGUCAGGGCUAGAGGGCAAGAAAGGCUGGUUUUCUCGGUGUGUGAAGACCAGGGAGCCAGAAAACAGACCGAGCACACAGAAUCCAGCUGGAGCUGAAGAGCUGGGGAUCUGGCGGUCCACAAGCAAGCCCAUGAGCAGCCCUGCUAUACAAGCCACACCAUCCCUCGAGGUCCUCAGAGCUCGAGGGCACAGAAUCUAGUGGACCCCCCAAGUGAGCAUCAGGACAUCAGAGGAGCAGCUCAGGGGAAUGCAAACUUGCGAAGAAGUGAAAAGGAAACAGCAGAGGGCUGGGAGUGUUGCUCAUGCUGGAGGCCCUGGGUUCCAUCCUCAGCAGUGCAAAAACAAACGGACAAACAAACAAAAAAACAAAAAAGAUGAGUUCCUUUUGUGUCCUAAUUUGGUGAUAACAAAACCCAUGUGCCUCUAUUUGUAUUUUGGGCUGGCAUUGAACAACCCAAAGAUGAACAAUAAAUAUAUAUGGUGAUCAUUUAA